AACCCAGGUUGAGGAUAUUUCUGCAAGAGCUCCUUGAACCUAUCACAUGUCUCAAAUAGAGACUCCAAUUCCAUUUGCAUAAAAGAGAUUAUUUUAUUCCUAAGCUU
Small nucleolar RNA from Dioscorea cayenensis subsp. rotundata (Guinea yam), 107 nucleotides. Lineage: Eukaryota; Viridiplantae; Streptophyta; Magnoliopsida; Dioscoreales; Dioscoreaceae. The record is from RefSeq and is a predicted model, not a curated record.